GACGAACGCUGGCGGCGUGCUUAACACAUGCAAGUCGAACGAAGAGCGACGGAAGCUUGCUUCUAUCAGUCUGAGUGGCGAACGGGUGAGUAACGCGUAAUCAACCUGCCCUUCAGAGGGGGACAACAGUUGGAAACGACUACUAAUACUGCAUACGAUCUAAUCUCGGCAUCGAGUAUGGAUGAAAGGUGGCCUCGACAUGUAAGCUAUCACUGAAGGAGGUGAUUGCGUCUGAUUAGCUCGUUGGAGUGGUAACGGCGCACCAAGGCGAUGAUCAGUAGUCGGACUGAGAGGACGGACGGCCGCAUUGAGACGGAGACCGGGCCCAGACUGCUUCGGGAGGCAGCAGUGGGGAUUCUUCAGCCAUCGACGAGAGACUGACGGCGCAACGCCGCGUCAGUGAUGACGGCCUUCGGGUUGUAAAGCUCGGUUAAUCGGGAGGAAAGGCCUUCUUGCGAUUAGGGAGAAGGAUUGACGGUAACGGGAUAGAAAGCCACGGCUAACUACGUG
RNAcentral lists this ribosomal RNA (510 nucleotides) under uncultured bacterium. RNAcentral's name for it is "partial 16S ribosomal RNA". It matches the Rfam family "Bacterial small subunit ribosomal RNA", at positions 28 to 507 of the family's 1533-position model. The record is from RNAcentral.